GUGUAGCUCAGUGGUAGAGUACUCACUUAGUACGUGUGAGGUUCUGGGUUUGAUCCCUGGCAC
Molecule: transfer RNA, 63 nt
Filed under: Urocitellus parryii (Arctic ground squirrel)
Lineage: Eukaryota; Metazoa; Chordata; Mammalia; Rodentia; Sciuridae
Also listed under: 1 other name
Description: Spermophilus parryii (Arctic ground squirrel) tRNA
Rfam family: tRNA
About the family: Transfer RNA (tRNA) molecules are approximately 80 nucleotides in length. Their secondary structure includes four short double-helical elements and three loops (D, anti-codon, and T loops).
Source: Rfam by way of RNAcentral